UUAUAGGCUAUGAUAAGGACAGUAAUAAGAGGAAACUGCUUUUAGAGACAUAAUCAUUUGGUGUAAGAUUAUGACAGUACCUUUUAUGAAGAUCACCUUGGAGCUAGGGAUCUGAAAUAAUAGUAAGAUCCUUCGUCUGAAUACGUUACAUUCGUCAAGUGAUAAAAUAGUAAGUUAUGUUUUAAAAUUACUAUUUUAUAAUAAGGGUGGUACCGCGGUUAAUUCGUCCCUAAG
RNAcentral lists this non-coding RNA (234 nucleotides) under Desulfonispora thiosulfatigenes. Its description in RNAcentral is "T-box sequence". It matches the Rfam family "T-box leader". From Rfam's summary of the family: Uncharged tRNA acts as the effector for transcription antitermination of genes in the T-box leader family. T-boxes are found upstream of many aminoacyl-tRNA synthetase genes and some amino acid biosynthetic genes usually in Gram-positive bacteria. The record is from RNAcentral. Lineage: Bacteria; Bacillati; Bacillota; Clostridia; Eubacteriales; Peptococcaceae.